This 492-nucleotide ribosomal RNA is filed under the name uncultured bacterium. RNAcentral describes it as "partial 16S ribosomal RNA". It matches the Rfam family "Bacterial small subunit ribosomal RNA", at positions 28 to 507 of the family's 1533-position model. The record is from RNAcentral.
GAUGAACGCUGGCUACAGGCUUAACACAUGCAAGUCGAGGGGAAACGACAUCGAAAGCUUGCUUUUGAUGGGCGUCGACCGGCGCACGGGUGAGUAACGCGUAUCCAACCUGCCCAUCACUUGGGGAUAACCUUGCGAAAGUAAGACUAAUACCCAAUGAUAUCUCUAGAAGACAUCUGAAAGAGAUUAAAGAUUUAUCGGUGAUGGAUGGGGAUGCGUCUGAUUAGCUUGUUGGCGGGGUAACGGCCCACCAAGGCAACGAUCAGUAGGGGUUCUGAGAGGAAGGUCCCCCACAUUGGAACUGAGACACGGUCCAAACUCCUACGGGAGGCAGCAGUGAGGAAUAUUGGUCAAUGGGCGAGAGCCUGAACCAGCCAAGUAGCGUGCAGGAAGACGGCCCUAUGGGUUGUAAACUGCUUUUAUAAGGGAAUAAAGUGAGAGUCGUGACUCUUUUUGUAUGUACCUUAUGAAUAAGGACCGGCUAAUUCCGUG